AUUACCGGUAUAAAAGCCAAUAUAUGACCUACGUUAUGAAGGCCCUUGAACUUGAAGACACUAUAAAGAAUUAUGAACGACGCUCGUCAACUGGAUGGAAAUAUGUUUCAACCCUCAGGCAUGCUCGAAAUGGGAAGUUGGGGUCCAUCUUAGAUACACUUGAAUUUAUAUGGCGCUGCAUCCUAAGAAAGCAUCUUCAGAAAGUCUUGGCUAUUGUACUUGGUAUCAUGUCCGCUGCAAUUCUUUUAGCCGAGGCCACCCUGUUACCAAGUGUUGAUUUAUCUCUUUUCUCAAUGCUUAUUAAAUUAGUCG
Molecule: unclassified non-coding RNA, 312 nt
Filed under: Hevea brasiliensis (rubber tree)
Lineage: Eukaryota; Viridiplantae; Streptophyta; Magnoliopsida; Malpighiales; Euphorbiaceae
Source: RNAcentral